AUACGGAGGAUCCGAGCGUUAUCCGGAUUUAUUGGGUUUAGAGGGUGCGCAGGCGGCCAUUUAAGUCAGCGGUUAAAUCGUGGGGCUCAACCCCAUUCUGCCGUUGAUACUGGGUGGCUUGAUUGCGGUCGAGGUUGGCGGAAUUCGUUGUGUAGCGGUGAAAUGCAUAGAUAUGACGAAGAACACCGAUUGCGUAGGCAGCUGACCAGACCGCAAAUGACGCUCAUGCACGAAAGUGCGGGGAUCGAACAGGAUUAGAUACCCUGGUAGUCCGCACAGUAAACGAUGAAUACUUGUUUUCGGCGAUAUAAUGUCGGAGGCAAAGCGAAAGCGAUAAGUAUUCCACCUGGGGAGUACGCCGGCAACGGUGAAACUCAAAUGAAUUGACGGGG
Molecule: ribosomal RNA, 392 nt
Filed under: uncultured bacterium
Lineage: Bacteria
Description: partial 16S ribosomal RNA
Rfam family: Bacterial small subunit ribosomal RNA
Source: RNAcentral